GAUGAACGCUGGCGGCGUGCUUAACACAUGCAAGUCGAACGGUGAAGGCGGAGCUUGCUCUGCUGGCGCAGUGGCGAACGGGUGCGUAACACGUGAGCAAUCGGCCCCUCUCUUUGGGAUAAGCGCUGGAAACGGCGCCUAAUACUGGAUACCAUCUGCCCAAGCAUCUUCAGCAGCUGAACAUCACGUCUGUCAGGGAUGAGCUCGCGGCUUAUCAGCUUGUUGGUGAGGUAACGGCUCACCCACGCGUCGACGGGUCGCCGGCCUGGGAGGGUGACCGGCCACACGGGGACUGAGGCACGGACCAGACUGCAACGGGAGGCAGCAGUGGGGAAUAUUGCACAAUGGGAGAAAGCCUGAUGCAGCAACGCCGCGUGAGGGAAGACGGCCUUCGGGUUGUAAACCUCUUUUAGCUGAGAAGAAGCGAUAGUGACGGUACCUGCAGAAAAAGCGCCGGCUAACUACGUG
This 468-nucleotide ribosomal RNA is filed under the name uncultured bacterium. RNAcentral describes it as "partial 16S ribosomal RNA". It matches the Rfam family "Bacterial small subunit ribosomal RNA", at positions 28 to 507 of the family's 1533-position model. The record is from RNAcentral.